AAUGAAGAAAGCGUGCAACUGCCACACAGCCUAAGUGAUGGGAAAUAAUAGUAUAAAGACUACUAACAUCACAAGUAACUAAAUAAUAUUGUUCUUUCCACUGGAUCUUGGAUAAUUCCCUAAUAAGCUGGGUAGAGUCCUUAAGGUAUGUAGGUUUGGACACCACCAAGGGUUGAAGGAGUUUAUGAAUAUACUGUGAUAAGCAGCUCGUAAGGGAAUCUUGUGAUGUUAGUAGUCUUUAUUAGGCUGUGAGGCAGUUGCACACUUUCUUCAU
Molecule: non-coding RNA, 274 nt
Organism: Pelobates cultripes (western spadefoot toad)
Lineage: Eukaryota; Metazoa; Chordata; Amphibia; Anura; Pelobatidae
Source: the annotation of a GenBank genome assembly